UACAGAGGGUGCAAGCGUUAAUCGGAAUUACUGGGCGUAAAGCGUGCGUAGUCGGUCAUCUAAGUCGGAUGUGAAAUCCCCGGGCUCAACCUGGGAAUUGCAUUCGAUACUGGAUGGCUAGAGUUCGGCAGAGGGAAGUGGAAUUUCCGGUGUAGCGGUGAAAUGCGUAGAUAUCGGAAGGAACAUCAGUGGCGAAAGCGACUUCCUGGACCAGAACUGACGAUCAGGCACGAAAGCGUGGGGAGCAAACAGG
RNAcentral lists this ribosomal RNA (253 nucleotides) under uncultured bacterium. Its description in RNAcentral is "partial 16S ribosomal RNA". It matches the Rfam family "Bacterial small subunit ribosomal RNA", at positions 524 to 776 of the family's 1533-position model. The record is from RNAcentral.